This 100-nucleotide small nuclear RNA is filed under the name Jaculus jaculus (lesser Egyptian jerboa). The record is from RNAcentral. Lineage: Eukaryota; Metazoa; Chordata; Mammalia; Rodentia; Dipodidae.
UUGCUUUGGCAGCACAUAGACUAAAAUUGGAAAGAUGCAGAGAUUAGCAUGGCCCCUGUGCAAGGAUUACACAUAAAUUUGUGAAGUGUUCCAUAUUUUU